GAUUUCUGGCGAACCGUUGCGGCCCGUGCUCGUUUCGGGCGUGUGUGCCGUGUCGUGUUUGUCAUCCUUCCAGAGAGCUGCGUCUACCAUUCACUUGGCCGGACGUACGCGAUCUGGAUCGAUUACUUUGAAAAAAUUAGAGUGUUUAAAGCAGGCUUUCGCUAUGAAUACAUUAGCAUGGAAUAAUAAUUUAGGACUUCGGUUCUAUUUUGUUGGUUUCUAGGACUGAAGUAAUGAUUGAUAGGGACAGUUGGGGAUGCUGAAAUUCAUUGGCCAGAGGUGAAAUUCUUGGAUUCAAUGAAGUUCAACUCAUGCGAAAGCAUU
Molecule: ribosomal RNA, 324 nt
Filed under: Trinematidae sp.
Lineage: Eukaryota; Cercozoa; Imbricatea; Euglyphida; Trinematidae
Description: SSU rRNA
Rfam family: Eukaryotic small subunit ribosomal RNA (bases 108-324)
Source: RNAcentral